Molecule: ribosomal RNA, 433 nt
Filed under: uncultured bacterium
Lineage: Bacteria
Description: partial 16S ribosomal RNA
Rfam family: Bacterial small subunit ribosomal RNA
Source: RNAcentral
AACGAACGCUGGCGGCAUGCCUAACACAUGCAAGUCGAACGAGACCUUCGGGUCUAGUGGCGCACGGGUGCGUAACGCGUGGGAACCUGCCCUUAGGUUCGGAAUAACUCCCCGAAAGGGGUGCUAAUACCGGAUAAUGUCCUCGGACCAAAGAUUUAUCGCCUUUGGAUGGGCCCGCGUUGGAUUAGCUAGUUGGUAGGGUAAAAGCCUACCAAGGCGACGAUCCAUAGCUGGUCUGAGAGGAUGAUCAGUCACACUGGGACUGAGACACGGCCCAGACUCCUACGGGAGGCAGCAGUGGGGAAUAUUGGACAAUGGGCGAAAGCCUGAUCCAGCAAUGCCGCGUGAGUGAUGAAGGCCUUAGGGUUGUAAAGCUCUUUUACCCGGGAUGAUAAUGACAGUACCGGGAGAAUAAGCUCCGGCUAACUCCGUG